GGAGGAAAAGAAACCAACAGGGAUUGCCCCAGUAACGGCGAGUGAAGCGGCAACAGGCUCAAAUUUGAAAUCUGGCCCCCAGGGCCCGAGUUGUAAUUUGCAGAGGAUGCUUUUGGCGCGGUGCCUUCCGAGUUCCCUGGAACGGGACGCCAUAGAGGGUGAGAGCCCCGUCUGGUCGGACGCCUAGCCUGUGUAAAGCUCCUUCGACGAGUCGAGUAGUUUGGGAAUGCUGCUCUAAAUGGGAGGUAUAUGUCUUCUAAAGCUAAAUACCGGCCAGAGACCGAUAGCGCACAAGUAGAGUGAUCGAAAGAUGAAAAGCACUUUGAAAAGAGGGUUAAAUAGUACGUGAAAUUGUUGAAAGGGAAGCGCUUGUGACCAGACUUGGGCCCGGUGGAUCAUCCAGCGUUCUCGCUGGUGCACUCCGCCGGGUUCAGGCCAGCAUCAGUUCGCCGCGGGGGAAAAAGGCUUCGGGAACGUGGCUCCUACGGGAGUGUUAUAGCCCGUUGCAUAAUA
RNAcentral lists this ribosomal RNA (513 nucleotides) under Purpureocillium lilacinum. RNAcentral's name for it is "eukaryotic LSU rRNA". It matches the Rfam family "Eukaryotic large subunit ribosomal RNA", at positions 52 to 573 of the family's 3401-position model. The record is from RNAcentral. Lineage: Eukaryota; Fungi; Ascomycota; Sordariomycetes; Hypocreales; Ophiocordycipitaceae.